This 73-nucleotide transfer RNA is filed under the name Cavia porcellus (domestic guinea pig). It matches the Rfam family "tRNA". Rfam says of the family: Transfer RNA (tRNA) molecules are approximately 80 nucleotides in length. Their secondary structure includes four short double-helical elements and three loops (D, anti-codon, and T loops). The record is from Rfam by way of RNAcentral. Lineage: Eukaryota; Metazoa; Chordata; Mammalia; Rodentia; Caviidae.
GUGUAGUUAGCUUGGUGGUGUAAGCACCUGCCUGGAAAGCAUGAGAUUGUGAGUUCGAUCCUGGCACCAAACA